CCUACGGGAGGCAGCAGUGGGGGAUAUUGCACAAUGGGGGAAACCCUGAUGCAGCGACGCCGCGUGGGUGAAGAAGCGCCUCGGCGCGUAAAGCCCUGUCAGCAGGGAAGAAAAUGACGGUACCUGAAGAAGAAGCCCCGGCUAACUACGUGCCAGCAGCCGCGGUAAUACGUAGGGGGCAAGCGUGAUCCGGAUUUACCGGGGGUAAAGGGGGCGCAGACGGCGAAGCAAGCCAGGAGUGAAAGCCCGGGGCCCAACCCCGGGACUGCUCUUGGAACUGCGUGGCUAGAGUGCAGGAGGGGCAGGCGGAAUUCCUGGUGUAGCGGUGAAAUGCGUAGAUAUCAGGCGGAACACCGGUGGCGAAGGCGGCCUGCUGGACUGCAACUGACGUUGAGGCCCGAAAGUGUGGGGAGCAAACAGGAUUAGAUACCCUUGUAGUC
This 440-nucleotide ribosomal RNA is filed under the name uncultured bacterium. Its description in RNAcentral is "partial 16S ribosomal RNA". It matches the Rfam family "Bacterial small subunit ribosomal RNA", at positions 338 to 795 of the family's 1533-position model. The record is from RNAcentral.